RNAcentral lists this ribosomal RNA (274 nucleotides) under uncultured bacterium. Its description in RNAcentral is "partial 16S ribosomal RNA". It matches the Rfam family "Bacterial small subunit ribosomal RNA", at positions 523 to 796 of the family's 1533-position model. The record is from RNAcentral.
AUACGGAGGGUGCAAGCGUUACUCGGAAUCACUGGGCGUAAAGCGCGCGCAGGCGGCUUGAUAAGUUGGAUGUGAAAGCCUACGGCUCAACCGUAGAACUGCAUCCAAAACUGUCAGGCUAGAGUCUGGGAGGGGAAGAUGGAAUUAGUUGUGUAGGGGUAAAAUCCGUAGAGAUAACUAGGAAUACCAAAAGCGAAGGCGAUCUUCUGGAACAGUACUGACGCUGAGGCGCGAAAGCGUGGGGAGCAAACAGGAUUAGAUACCCUAGUAGUCC